This 473-nucleotide small RNA is filed under the name Pan troglodytes (chimpanzee). Its description in RNAcentral is "processed transcript". The record is from RNAcentral. Lineage: Eukaryota; Metazoa; Chordata; Mammalia; Primates; Hominidae.
GGCUACUGCAGAGGGUUCAGAGCCGAGUCGCUGAGGAGGAGGCUCCGGUCCCCGCGCGCCAUCCGCCACCCUACUGGACACGGGCGAGAGCGUCGCCGCCGUAGCCUCCGGAGAAGACAAGGGCAUCGCCGCCUCAGCCGCCGCCGCCGCCGUUUUCGCCUGCAGCUGCUCACCGGUUACCCCACAGCCUAUCCAGCAGCUGCCCCUGCCUACAAUCCCAGCCUGUACCCCACCAAUAGUCCCAGUUAUGCUCCAGAGUUUCAGUUCCUGCAUUCAGCUUAUGGACACCAUGAAGCAACUCUGCUGAUGAAACAGGCCUGGCCACAGAACUCGUCUUCCUGUGGCACUGAAGGCACCUUCCACCUCCCAGUGGACACCGGGACCGAGAACCGAACUUACCAAGCAUCCUCUGCGGCUUUCAGUAUUUUCAGGCAGAGGUGGCCUUCCCCUAGAGCCCAGGAGAGAAGGAGGAG